RNAcentral lists this transfer RNA (87 nucleotides) under Ruminococcus sp. RNAcentral's name for it is "tRNA-Leu". It matches the Rfam family "tRNA". From Rfam's summary of the family: Transfer RNA (tRNA) molecules are approximately 80 nucleotides in length. Their secondary structure includes four short double-helical elements and three loops (D, anti-codon, and T loops). The record is from RNAcentral. Lineage: Bacteria; Bacillati; Bacillota; Clostridia; Eubacteriales; Oscillospiraceae. RNAcentral also lists the same sequence under 3 other names.
GCCGGUGUGAUGGAAUUGGCAGACGUGACGGACUCAAAAUCCGUUGGUAGCGAUACCGUGCCGGUUCGAGUCCGGCCACCGGCACCA